RNAcentral lists this long non-coding RNA (763 nucleotides) under Brachypodium distachyon (stiff brome). Its description in RNAcentral is "long non-coding RNA (BDIS_LNC004815)". The record is from RNAcentral. Lineage: Eukaryota; Viridiplantae; Streptophyta; Magnoliopsida; Poales; Poaceae.
GGCUGGGCUGUCGCCUAGGACGACGGUGGCGCGGGAGCGGGCUCCGGCGAGGUUGGGCGGCGCUGCUCCGGCUGUUAGAGUGCACCAAGGACAAAUCCGUGCGCGUCAAAACGUGCGCAAUGUCGAGGCGGUCCAGAAAUUUGAGGUCUCGGACGGGGAGGCUCACCGGCGGUGUCGACCCGAAGCGAAACGGUGGCGGCGGGGUUCCUUGCUCCGGCGAGUAAAUCCGGUGGCGUGGGCGCGUGAGAGUGAGGGAAAACAGAGGGGAAAGAGAGAGGGGGGGCUGGGCUUUAUAGGGGUGUGCUCGAGCAACUUCGGGAAGCACGGAAUCGGCGGAUUCCGGAGAUGGCGGCGCGGCGAGUCCGACGCGGUUUCGAUGGCGUGACGCCGCAUUCCAUCCGGGACGAAGCCUGACAGGAGGGCCCACCUGUCAGCGACGGGCGCGGGCGAAGCUGGGCCGGGCCUGUCUGGUUUUCCCUUUUUUUUCUUUUCUUUUUUUCCUUUUUCUGAUUUCUUUGAUAUCUUUUGAUUUUGAACUCCAAAUUUAUCCAAAUAAAUUCCAGAAAAUUUGUAAAAUCAUAUAAUAAUAUGAUUCAACUUUUGGGACUAAUUUCCCUUCCAAAUAAAAUAUAUAAAAAUACAUUUUCCCUAUAAAUGCUUUUAAGGCUUUAUAACUAUUUAAAUAAAAUAGUGUUUCAACUCCCAAUAAUUAUCCAAAAAUUAUAGGAAAAAUUAUUUAUGCAAUAAACCCCUUUUGUAGUUA